This 468-nucleotide ribosomal RNA is filed under the name uncultured bacterium. Its description in RNAcentral is "partial 16S ribosomal RNA". It matches the Rfam family "Bacterial small subunit ribosomal RNA", at positions 28 to 507 of the family's 1533-position model. The record is from RNAcentral.
GACGAACGCUGGCGGCGUGCUUAACACAUGCAAGUCGAACGGAAAGGCCCUGCUUUUGUGGGGUGCUCGAGUGGCGAAGGGGUGAGUAACACGGGAGUAACCUGCCCUGGACUUUGGGAUAACUUCAGGAAACUGGGGCUACUACCGGAUAGGAGCGCCUGCUGCAUGGGGGGGGUUGGAGAGUUUCGGCGGUUGGGGCUGGAGUCGCGGCUUAUCAGCUUGUUGGUGGGGUAGUGGCUUACCAAGGCUUUGACGGGUAGGCGGCCUGAGAGGGUGACCGGCCACAUUGCGACUGAGAUACGGCCCAGACUCCUACGGGAGGCAGCAGUGGGGAAUAUUGCACAAUGGGCGGAAGCCUGAUGCAGCAACGCCGCGUGCGGGAUGACGGCCUUCGGGUUGUAAACCGCUUUCGCCUGUGACGAAGCGUGAGUGACGGUAAUGGGUAAAGAAGCACCGGCUAACUACGUG